Molecule: ribosomal RNA, 249 nt
Filed under: uncultured bacterium
Lineage: Bacteria
Description: partial 16S ribosomal RNA
Rfam family: Bacterial small subunit ribosomal RNA
Source: RNAcentral
CGCGCUGUAAACGAUGGAUGCUCGGUGUUGGGGGUAUCGACCCCCUCAGCGCCUUAGUUAACACGGUAAGCAUCCCGCCUGGGGAGUACGGCCGCAAGGUUAAAACUCAAAGGAAUUGACGGGGGCCCGCACAAGCGGUGGAGCAUGUUGUUUAAUACGUCACUAACCGUAGAACCUUACCAGGUCUUGACAUCCUAGGAACCUUUCGGAAACGGAGGGGUGCCCGCAAGGGAGCCUAGAGACAGGUGU